CAGGAAGCUGCAUGGCCAAAUUCCUGCCACGCUUGCAGGGAUGACAGGAAUCCAUCCCAACAGCGAUGGAAACCAAACAAAGCCCUGCACAACCACCCCGGCAUCGACAUGGAAGUGUUUAUAACUGAGCUCCCAGAGUCCUGGUGUCCAGGAAAGCUGAGUGAUUGCAUCCUGACAUUCCUGCUGCCACGGGACAAACGGCAUGGCAGGGAACUGCCAGUGUGGAAUGAAAAGGGCCCACUCCAGCAGGAGCAAAGGAAGCAGGAGGAUUUCUCACCCCAUUGGAGCCCUGCUGCUCGUUAUCUCAGAAAAGAGCACCCAACUCCCCUAGGGAGAGGACAGGGUCUGAAUUGUGCUGCAUUUCCAAGAAUUCUUCCCUAAAGUCUUCAUCAGGAAAACUGUUCUCUGAAGCUUUUGGAUGUUCCUGCCAGAGGUGCUGCUUCACUGCCUCCCACGAGCACCAAAGGUGUUGGUGGAAUUGUUUUCUCUGCCUCCAGCUUUUACCCGAGAGUGUGGAAUGGUCUCCACUAGGAUUUCACCACAGGAGAAGCAUCCAGAUGAUUCUCCUGGUAUAAAAACCACCUCCAAGUGCUUUGGCAGGGAGAGGUGCCAGUUUUGUGUCCCUUGAAGCUGAGGAGAGUUCCCCAGCCAGCUUUGCUGUGCCCACCACGAGGCUUCAACAGCUGCAAGUGAGGAGGGAUCCCUGCAGCUCCCGUGCUCCUGAAAUCACACAGGGAAGGGGGACGGCUAUUUGCAAUGGAAAAGCAGCGGGAAGGAGGCUGGGGAAGGUGGCAGAUGCAGUGGGUUGUGCCAGACUUUCUCACAAGUCUCACUGUCUGAGAGGAGGAGCGCGGAGAUGGGAAACCGAGAGGGGAGCGAGCCCUGGGUGUGCCGGAACGUGCCGAGCUCCCCAGGACUGCCCUGCUCUGCCACGGGGCAGCUCUGGCAGCCAAAACCUCCUCUCUGCUGGACCUGAGGGGGCUGUGAGCAGGGCAGGGCUGCUGGGGCACAGGCCCUGCCUUCCCUGGGCUGCAGGAAGCGCAGGGAUGUUCGCAGCAGUGCCGGGCACGGUAUCAUCUGCUGGUUCCAUUUAACAACUUCUCACAACAUAUGCAGUUUACAUUACGCUAUCCUGCACAUGUAGGCUUUGGCUGGGAAUAUCCUCCAGAGCUGGGGAUUUAUGGCCAUGCAAAUGCUCGGGGAGGCAGGAGCAGGCCUGCCAAAGCAGGGGGAAGGAAAGGCUCCUUUGUUCCUGCUUCUGGGUCACGUUAACCCCAGCGCUGCCGAGCUGCGGCUCAGGGAGCGCCGCUGCUCCAGCCCCACGCCUCGCCCUUCCCACAGCAAUUCCUCAAACACCAGCAUCUCACACUCGUUUCCUUGGCUUCCGCGGGCAGCUGGAGCUGGGCCUCUGAGAAAAGAUCUGCUUUCAGCCAAGCUGUCUUUUCCUUUCUCUGCAGGCCUGGCAUGACAACAGGCCUGGCUCUGCCAUGGCUGCCCCAGCCCUGCAUCCCUGGGGAGCCUCUGGAGCUCCAGGAGUGCCCUCAGGGCAGCAGAGGAGCUGCUGUGGGCAGAACGGCACGGGAUAAGAGUUUGUACCUAGUGCCCCUCUCCUUCAUUCCAGGAAAAAAAAAAAACAAUGGGAGAAAAGUUCAGUGUGGCAUAGAAGAGGAUUGAAGAGAGUCUCUCUGUCCACCCUUUCGGCACAGAAUCAGGAUCAUGGCAUGGUUUGGAUUGGAAGGACCUUAAAGCUCCUCUCAUCCCAUGGCAGGGACAGGGCAGGGACACCUGCCCCUACCCCAGGCUGCUCCAAGCCCCUCCAGCCUGGCCUGGGACACUUCCAGGGAUCCAGGGGCAGCCACAGCUUCUCUGGGCAGCCUGUGCCAGGGCCUCACCCCUCACAGGGAGGAAUUCCUUCCAAUAUCCCAUCCAAACCCUCUGUCUGUCCGUGUGAAACCUUUCCCCCUUGUCCCGUCCCUCCCGUCCCUGCUGGCAGCUCCAGGCACGACCCAGCGAGGCUGAGCCGGGCUGGCCGGGGCGAUCAAACCUCAAUCCCGAGGUUCCUGUGGGUUCACUGUGAGGAUCAUUAUCCCCAGUGCCAGGUAAUUAAUUACCUGGGGCACAAUUACCUGAGCCCUGGCUCCCCAGCUGCCCUUGCCCAGCUGCUGCCCGGGGCCGGGGCAGUUCCAGCUCUGCCUUUUCCCAGACUCAGAGGCCUGGGAGCUUCCAGCUGCUCCAAACUGCGGUGCUAAGGAAGGGAAGCAAGUCUGUGCUCCUUGGGAAUGUUUGUUAUUGCAACAGGCAAAAAUGAAAUCUCGCAUUUGUGAGAAAAAUAUGGUUCAAAUUGUUCCUGUGUGGAUAGAAAUGACCCACAUUCCUACUUCUCUCUUAAUUUUUUAAUAAGCUGAUUCAUUCCCUGCAUGACAUCACUACAUGUUCAUACCUUUAUCAAAAACAUUAAUAAAAUAUUCACUUGUAUUUGUUUACCAAAAAUGCCUUUUAUGAAGAUGAAAUAUUUCUAAAAUCUGCUCAUUUAUGUUUUUCACCAAGCAAUAUAUUAAAAAAACAAAACACAAUUUGUGUUGGUGAAACUCAAAGAAUUUUUGACAGCAGCAACAACAACUUGUUCUGUGAAAAUCGCUUUUGAGGCGGAAAAAAAGCAAUUCUUUCAGACGCCACCAUUUAAUAUUAUCUAUUUUUUAAAACAGUCUUUUCUGUGUGUGCUCCUCGCUGAACGCUGCGUCCUUGGUGCCACCUGAGGCAUCGGAGCACAGCAAGAAGGGAAGGCAAAGUUUUGCUACACAAACUGCAACUGCUUGUGGUGUGUUAUUCACAUAAUUAUAAAUAAAUAUAUUUAUUAAUAUAAAUAAAUAUAUUUAUAAAUGUAAGCAAAAAAUUGCA
Prinia subflava (tawny-flanked prinia) is the source of this 2898-nucleotide long non-coding RNA. RefSeq lists it as uncharacterized. The record is from RefSeq and is a predicted model, not a curated record. The transcript has 3 exons. NCBI's taxonomy places the organism in Eukaryota, Metazoa, Chordata, Aves, Passeriformes, Cisticolidae.